This 72-nucleotide small nuclear RNA is filed under the name Tupaia belangeri (northern tree shrew). The record is from RNAcentral. Lineage: Eukaryota; Metazoa; Chordata; Mammalia; Scandentia; Tupaiidae.
NAUACACACAGAAGAUUAGUAUGGCCCCUGCACAAGGAUGACACGGAUAUUCGUGAAGUGUUCCAUAUUUUU